CCUACGGGUGGCAGCAGUGGGGAAUAUUGGACAAUGGGGGCAACCCUGAUCCAGCCAUGCCGCGUGUGUGAAGAAGGCCCUCGGGUUGUAAAGCACUUUCAGUGAGGAAGAACGCCUGGUGGUUAAUACCCAUCAGGAAAGACAUCACUCACAGAAGAAGCACCGGCUAACUCCGUGCCAGCAGCCGCGGUAAUACGGAGGGUGCGAGCGUUAAUCGGAAUUACUGGGCGUAAAGCGCGCGUAGGUGGCUUGAUAAGCCGGUUGUGAAAGCCCCGGGCUCAACCUGGGAACGGCGUCCGGAACUGUCAAGCUAGAGUGCAGGAGAGGAAGGUAGAAUUCCCGGUGUAGCGGUGAAAUGCGUAGAGAUCGGGAGGAAUACCAGUGGCGAAGGCGGCCUUCUGGACUGACACUGACACUGAGGUGCGAAAGCGUGGGUAGCAAACAGGAUUAGAUACCCCGGUAGUC
RNAcentral lists this ribosomal RNA (465 nucleotides) under Vreelandella stevensii. RNAcentral's name for it is "partial 16S ribosomal RNA". It matches the Rfam family "Bacterial small subunit ribosomal RNA", at positions 338 to 795 of the family's 1533-position model. The record is from RNAcentral. Lineage: Bacteria; Pseudomonadati; Pseudomonadota; Gammaproteobacteria; Oceanospirillales; Halomonadaceae.